ACACCCGAAGUCGGUGAGGUAACCACUUGUGGAGCCAGCCGCCGAAGGUGGGACAGAUGAUUGGGGUGAAGUCGUAACAAGGUAGCCGUAUCGGAAGGUGCGGCUGGAUCACCUCCUUUCUAAGGA
RNAcentral lists this ribosomal RNA (126 nucleotides) under Planococcus sp. CPCC 101016. RNAcentral describes it as "partial 16S ribosomal RNA". It matches the Rfam family "Bacterial small subunit ribosomal RNA", at positions 1417 to 1533 of the family's 1533-position model. Lineage: Bacteria; Bacillati; Bacillota; Bacilli; Caryophanales; Caryophanaceae. The record is from RNAcentral.